UAAGGAAUAUUGGUCAAUGGACGCAAGUCUGAACCAGCCAUGCCGCGUGAAGGAUGAAGGUCCUCUGGAUUGUAAACUUCUUUUAUCUGGGACGAAAACGGGAUUUUUAUCUCAAUUGACGGUACCAGAGGAAUAAGCACCGGCUAACUCCGUGCCAGCAGCCGCGGUAAUACGGCGGGUGCGAGCGUUAUCCGGAUUUACUGGGUUUAAAGGGUGCGUAGGUGGGCUUAUAAGUCAGUGGUGAAAUCUCCGAGCUUAACUUGGAAACUGCCGUUGAUACUAUAGGUCUUGAAUUAUCUGGAGGUAAGCGGAAUAUGUCAUGCAGCGGUGAAAUGCUUAGAUAUGACAUAGAACACCAAUUGCGAAGGCAGCUUACUACAUAUAAAUUGACGCUGAGGCACGAAAGCGUGGGGAUCAAACA
Molecule: ribosomal RNA, 421 nt
Filed under: uncultured bacterium
Lineage: Bacteria
Description: bacterial SSU rRNA
Rfam family: Bacterial small subunit ribosomal RNA
Source: RNAcentral